This 85-nucleotide small nuclear RNA is filed under the name Neogale vison (American mink). RNAcentral describes it as "Neovison vison (American mink) U4 spliceosomal RNA (ENSNVIG00000016331.1)". The stretch from base 1 to 74 matches the Rfam family "U4 spliceosomal RNA". Rfam says of the family: U4 small nuclear RNA (U4 snRNA) is a component of the major U2-dependent spliceosome. The structure of U4 snRNA from yeast and human has been reported. Lineage: Eukaryota; Metazoa; Chordata; Mammalia; Carnivora; Mustelidae. The record is from RNAcentral.
AACUUUGCGCCGUGCCAAUAUCAUAGCCAAGGAGGUUUAUCCAAGGCGCGAUUAUUGCCAAUUGAAAAAGUAAAAGUUAAUGAAG